Unclassified non-coding RNA from Callithrix jacchus (white-tufted-ear marmoset), 299 nucleotides. It matches the Rfam family "Metazoan signal recognition particle RNA". From Rfam's summary of the family: The signal recognition particle (SRP) is a universally conserved ribonucleoprotein. NCBI's taxonomy places the organism in Eukaryota, Metazoa, Chordata, Mammalia, Primates, Cebidae. The record is from Ensembl.
GCCAGGCACAGUGGCGCGUGCCUGUAGUCCCAGCUACUCCAGAGGCUGAGGUGGAGGAUCUCUGGAGUCCAGGAGUUCUGGGCUGUAGUUCGCUAUGCCAAUCAGGUGUCUGCACUAAGUUCAGCAUCAAUAUGGUGACCUCCUGGGAGCAGGGGACCACCAGGUUGCCUAAGGCAGGGUGAAGUGGCCCAGGUCAGAAAAAGAGCAGGUCAAAACUCCCGUGCUGAUCAGUAGUGGGAUUGUGCCUGUGAAUAGCCAUUGCACUCCAGCCUGGGCAACAUAGCAAGAUCCUGUCUCUU